GAGUUUAGAAAAAUAAUAAGAGGUGGGAGCGCUCAGAAAGAAUCAGAAAAAAUUCAUUGAGGAGAUUCAGAAAUGCAAGGAGUGAAAUUUUACAGUAUAUAUUUGACUGAGGAGAGCCCUGUUGGAAGAGAAAAUUUAAUUUGAAGAGAAAAGGGCCAAAAUUGGAUGUUUAUGGACUCAAUUGGAUUUUAUUGAAGGUUUAUUUGAAUUUACAGAGGUUUUGAUUGCAAGGAAAAUUGAUUUUUAAGUCGAUCUAGGCCUUAAUUGGAAGAAAUUAAAGUUCUGGGGCCAAAUUAUAAUUUUUAGGAAUUUAUUAGGUCCAAUCAGGGGCUUAAUUGCAUAAAUAUUGAAGUUUAAUGGCCAAUUAGGGACUUAAUUGAGAAAAUCCGAAACCAGGGACCAAUUUGGAAAAGGCGCGUAAAUAAGAGGGGCGGUAUUGGAUUCAAUCCGGGGCCAAAUUAAAGAAAUUGAAAACUGGAGGACUGAUUUGAAAAGGGGCAGGAACUGUUCAUUGUCUUCCCCACCGAGCUGCCCGAGUGGCCGACUUCCAGGCGUGUUUUCUGACUCGUUUGGCCCCCAAAUCCGACAAAGCAUGCACCAACAUAUCCACAUGAAACCCCUUUAUCCCGGAGAAUGGUCCGGUCGGGUCGAAAAGGUUAUAAACGGGUCCGUUCAUUGGCCCGAAGUGG
This 689-nucleotide long non-coding RNA is filed under the name Populus trichocarpa (black cottonwood). Its description in RNAcentral is "long non-coding RNA (PTRI_LNC004829)". The record is from RNAcentral. Lineage: Eukaryota; Viridiplantae; Streptophyta; Magnoliopsida; Malpighiales; Salicaceae.